GACGAACGCUGGCGGCGUGCUUAACACAUGCAAGUCGAACGAAGAGCGAUGGAAGCUUGCUUCUAUCAAUCUUAGUGGCGAACGGGUGAGUAACGCGUAAUCAACCUGCCCUUCAGAGGGGGACAACAGUUGGAAACGACUGCUAAUACCGCAUACGAUCUAAUCUCGGCAUCGAGGAUAGAUGAAAGGUGGCCUCUACAUGUAAGCUAUCACUGAAGGAGGGGAUUGCGUCUGAUUAGCUAGUUGGAGGGGUAACGGCCCACCAAGGCGAUGAUCAGUAGCCGGUCUGAGAGGAUGAACGGCCACAGUGGGACUGAGACACGGCCCAGACUCCUACGGGAGGCAGCAAUGGGGAAUCUUCCGCAAUGGACGAAAGUCUGACGGAGCAACGCCGCGUGAGUGAUGACGGCCUUCGGGUUGUAAAGCUCUGUUAAUCGGGACGAAAGGCCUUCUUGCGAACAGUUAGAAGGAUUGACGGUACCGGAAUAGAAAGCCACGGCUAACUACGUG
RNAcentral lists this ribosomal RNA (510 nucleotides) under uncultured bacterium. Its description in RNAcentral is "partial 16S ribosomal RNA". It matches the Rfam family "Bacterial small subunit ribosomal RNA", at positions 28 to 507 of the family's 1533-position model. The record is from RNAcentral.